Equus asinus (donkey) is the source of this 855-nucleotide long non-coding RNA. NCBI's taxonomy places the organism in Eukaryota, Metazoa, Chordata, Mammalia, Perissodactyla, Equidae. The record is from Ensembl.
GGGGAACUUUGGGGUGUGCUCGGAAAAGGCAGCGUGCGCACCUAGGGCGAGGGACUAGCUGGGAAGGGUGUGCCUGUGCUUGGGGAUGGGAGCAGGAAGUGUCUGGGACCUCGUCGCCCCCGCGGCGGUGUAUAAAGCCGGGCGGGCCGUCAGAGCGGAGCUUCAGAGCAGAGACAAGAGCCCAGAAAGGAGCAGAUGCUAGAUUUGCAAGAUCAGAAGCAGGUCUUGAUCCUCCUGCCCAGGAUGAACCAGACUUGAUGAUGCCACCUUCAGGAGCCACCACACUGUGUGACAGUGGGGCAUUUGGGCCGUCCCUGGGAAGAACAGAUGCGCUGCUGUCACACAUGUCCACCACCACAUGUGACAUUAGUGACGUUAUCCUGACGUCACAGGAUCCAAGAAUGAUGAUCUGUGAAGAGUUUUCCAAGGUCACCUACUUCUAACUCUUUUGAAAGAUUUAAAGACAUUGGGCCUGAAAACUUCAGUGACUUGUCCGGGGAAACGCAGUUUGUGACAGUUCACUCUCUCACAGCUGAAGCACAGUCCUCUGUACUCGCCCAGGAGCCACAGAGAGUGAACAUCCCUCAGAAGAAAUAGCGAAGCUGGUCUAGCGCUUGGUGAUAUUUCCAAAGAGUCCUUUUGUGAAUGGCCGUGAGAAGAUGUCCUCCUUCAGCCAAGGAUGAAGUCUUAUACUUGGUAUUCUUUAAAGUACCUGAUGCCAUGCUACACAACUAGUGUGUGUGCAUCCAUUCAUCUGACAGAUAUUUAUUGACUCACCUACCAGCUGACUCCCUGGGAAGCCAGAGCAGUUUGCCAACUAAUAUGGUUAAUUGGGAUUUGAUAAGUGCUAUAAAG